GAUGAACGCUAGCGACAGGCUUAACACAUGCAAGUCGAGGGGCAGCGGGGGUGAUGGCUUGCCAUCACCUGCCGGCGACCGGCGCACGGGUGAGUAACACGUAUCCAACCUGCCGAUGACUCGGGGAUAGCCUUUCGAAAGAAAGAUUAAUACCCGAUGGCAUAGUUCUUCCGCAUGGUAGAACUAUUAAAGAAUUUCGGUCAUCGAUGGGGAUGCGUUCCAUUAGCUUGUUGGCGGGGUAACGGCCCACCAAGGCAUCGAUGGAUAGGGGUUCUGAGAGGAAGGUCCCCCACAUUGGAACUGAGACACGGUCCAA
Molecule: ribosomal RNA, 316 nt
Filed under: uncultured bacterium
Lineage: Bacteria
Description: bacterial SSU rRNA
Rfam family: Bacterial small subunit ribosomal RNA
Source: RNAcentral